ACUGGGGCUGUCAUGGCUAAAGCUGGUGACACUACAAUUGUAGGCAGUGGCAGGAAGAAGGCUGGAGAUGGUCACGACAUGGGAAGAAACAGCAACUGGUUCCUGGGGUUUCAGAAAAUAAGGUAAAAUUAUCCAAUUUCAGGGGCAAAGUCAAGAACUAUCAUGAAUUACUGCAAGAGCUCCCAGUGGUCCAAGGAAUACGACAUGAAUACUGCAGUGAGGGUUUCCUUUGUUCUGGCUGAGAAUGUGGCUCUAGGUGAUAAGAUCCUCAGGAAAAUCUCCUAAAGGAAGAGGAAAUAUAAACAGUAAAGAGAUGUACAAGCACAAAGAAAAGACCGUGUGAGGACACAGUUACAAAGUGAUCAUCUGCAAGCCUCAGGAGAAGCCUACUCUGCUCACACUUGGACCUUGAACUUCCAGACUCCAGAUCUGCUGGAACAUGCAUGUAAUGGUGAUAAAGCUUCCUCUCUAGAGACAAGGACUAUGCAUAGUGGCAGAUGGAACAACAAAACAGAAUUUGCCUCCCUGGGUGACCCCUUAAAGCAGAAGUGCCUGGUUAGUCCUGUGCUAUCAUGGGAGAGGUAUAAACUUCUAUUUUGUUUGAGCCACUCUCUUUUUGUUUGUUUCUUUAUUACAGUAGUUUAGUCUGUCCCCUUAUCAAUAAACAUCCAAAAGCGUAUUUUGGAGAAAAGAAAUCAGUAGUCCCAAGGUCCCCAAAUCUUUAGGUGUCGGUGAUAUAUGGGAAAAAAUGGGAAACACGUUAAUUGUAGUUUUCUUGAAAAUGUUUGGCAUCCUGAAGAAAAAGCUCAAAUCAUAAUUCUAAAUAUAAAUGAAAUCAAUAGUUGGAGCUCUUACAUCUCACUGUUAAAGAUUAAACGGUAAGCUCUAUGAAAGGAAGAAUUCAAUUUUUGUUCACUGUCUUAUCUCCAGAGCCUAAAACAGACAACUGGUAUGCAAACAUUUGACGUGUCAAUAAAUGAUUGCUUAGUGGUUUUCAAUAGUUCAUAAAACUAAAUUUACAGACACACAAUGCUGGCAUU
This 1040-nucleotide long non-coding RNA is filed under the name Homo sapiens (human). RNAcentral's name for it is "HSALNT0366926". The record is from RNAcentral. Lineage: Eukaryota; Metazoa; Chordata; Mammalia; Primates; Hominidae.